GAUGAAGAACGUAGCGAAAUGCGAUAAGUAAUGUGAAUUGCAGAAUUCAGUGAAUCAUCGAAUCUUUGAACGCACAUUGCGCCCGCCAGUAUUCUGGCGGGCAUGCCUGUUCGAGCGUCAUUUCAACCAUCAAGCCCCCGGCUUGUGUUGGGGACCUGCGGCUGCCGCAGGCCCUGAAAACCAGUGGCGGGCUCGCUAGUCACUCCGAGCGUAGUAAUACAUCUCGCUCAGGGCGUGCUGCGGGUUCCGGCCGUUAAAAAAGCCUUAUUUACCCAAGGUUGACCUCGGAUCAGGUAGGAAGACCCGCUGAACUUAAGCAUAUAAUAAGCGGAGGA
This 335-nucleotide unclassified non-coding RNA is filed under the name soil metagenome. RNAcentral's name for it is "partial contains 5.8S ribosomal RNA, internal transcribed spacer 2, and large subunit ribosomal RNA". The stretch from base 1 to 120 matches the Rfam family "5.8S ribosomal RNA", at positions 35 to 154 of the family's 154-position model. The record is from RNAcentral.